Molecule: ribosomal RNA, 225 nt
Filed under: uncultured bacterium
Lineage: Bacteria
Description: partial 16S ribosomal RNA
Rfam family: Bacterial small subunit ribosomal RNA
Source: RNAcentral
UAACGCGUGAGGAACCUGCCUCAAAGAGGGGGACAACAGUUGGAAACGACUGCUAAUACCGCAUAAGCCCACGGCUCGGCAUCGAGCAGAGGGAAAAGGAGCAAUCCGCUUUGAGAUGGCCUCGCGUCCGAUUAGCUAGUUGGUGAGGUAAUGGCCCACCAAGGCGACGAUCGGUAGCUGGUCUGAGAGGACGACCAGCCACACUGGGACUGAGACACGGCCCAG